This 438-nucleotide ribosomal RNA is filed under the name uncultured bacterium. Its description in RNAcentral is "bacterial SSU rRNA". It matches the Rfam family "Bacterial small subunit ribosomal RNA", at positions 355 to 796 of the family's 1533-position model. The record is from RNAcentral.
UGGGGAAUCUUGCACAAUGGGCGAAAGCCUGAUGCAGCGACGCCGCGUGGGGGAUGAAGCUUUUCGGAGUGUAAACCCCUUUCGACCCGGACGAAUGCCCCGCAAGGGGACUGACGGUACGGGUAUAAGAAGCCCCGGCUAACUACGUGCCAGCAGCCGCGGUAAGACGUAGGGGGCCAGCGUUGCUCGGAAUUACUGGGUGUAAAGGGUUCGUAGGCGGUGUGGCAAGUCGGGAGUGAAAUCUCUGGGCUCAACCCAGAGGCUGCUUCCGAAACUGCUGUGCUUGAGUGUGGGAGAGGCGCGUGGAAUUGCAGGUGUAGCGGUGAAAUGCGUAGAUAUCUGCAGGAACACCCGUGGCGAAAGCGGCGCGCUGGACCACAACUGACGCUGAGGAACGAAAGCUAGGGGAGCAAACAGGAUUAGAUACCCCUGUAGUCC